UACGUAGGGGGCAAGCGUUGUCCGGAAUCAUUGGGCGUAAAGCGCGUGUAGGCGGCCCAGUAAGUCCGCUGUGAAAGCCCAGGGCUCAACCCUGGGAUGCCGGUGGAUACUGUUGGGCUCGAGUCCGGAAGAGGCGAGUGGAAUUCCCGGUGUAGCGGUGAAAUGCGCAGAUAUCGGGAGGAACACCAAUGGCGAAGGCAGCUCGCUGGGACGUGACUGACGCUGAGGUGCGAAAGCGUGGGGAGCAAACAGG
This 253-nucleotide ribosomal RNA is filed under the name uncultured bacterium. RNAcentral's name for it is "partial 16S ribosomal RNA". It matches the Rfam family "Bacterial small subunit ribosomal RNA", at positions 524 to 776 of the family's 1533-position model. The record is from RNAcentral.